CAUAAAACAUCUUUGGAUGAUACUUGCGCUGGGCUAUUGCUAUCCUCCUUCGUCAUACUUGAUGAUACUGUAACCUGGGACGAGUCACGAGCGCAAGUAUCUGCAAUUGCCUUGGAAGCAGAAUCAGCAAGCAAAGAGGAUCUUCAUAAGCCGUGGUUCUUCAAUACCAAGCCUUCUACCAAUGGCAACCUACAGACAGUGAGGGUCAAACUAGAAUCCAACUGAAGCUCGAGCUAGGUAUGUACAAGCAAGUUGAUUAAAUUAUAUUCCUUAUCCUAUAUUGUCUUUUUCAAACACAAGAAUUACAUAACCAGAAAGCAUAUAGGGUACACUUCAAAAAUCAAGUUACAGAUCAAAGCACAAAUGUUACUGCUUUUUGAUAAAUUUUGUUACAAAAAUCUAUUUUGGUCAAAUUGCUAAACAACCUCCAAGCUCCUCAGCACCACAUAAAUUGAAAACAAGAGGAGAAGUCAAGAAACAUCCAAAAAUCUCUUCCUUUCCACAUUGUUAUUAAUUUGUAAAUACACCUUGUGACAAAUGUGUUCAGAAUUAUCAUUUCAAAAUUAAUUCUCAGCUAGUAGUUCUGAAAGUUUAUAAAAAAUAUCAUGCUUUAAAAGAACCUGAAGAAUGUGGUCAACUACCUUUAGACUAAUGUCGCCUGUAAAUCAUUUCAUUAUGAGCAAGUAGUCACAUACCUGGAGUGAAGUUGCAAUAGCAUACAGCGCCGAAUCAUCUCCUGAUAUCAUUUCAUUAGGUCUGAGUAAAGUCAUCAAAGUCUCCUUCAACGGUUUUAGCAAAGUCGGAUCUCUAGCUCCCAAAGGGCCUAACGUAGUAGAAGCAAUCUUGAGCGCACUAGAAUGAUCACCAGUUCUCACCAGCUUCAGAAAUUCAAGCUGAAGACAGAAGUGGAAAAUAACACGGCUCUCAAAUCACUAACUUAAAUGCAUUAUGUUCAGAAUUCCAGCUAUAUUAAUGGGAUCUACACACCUGCUUUAGUUGGAAUAACAAAAGGGAAUUUUGUGCAAAAAAGUUAGGAUCUAUAACAUUUAUUUCUUCCA
This is a long non-coding RNA of Daucus carota subsp. sativus, 1058 nucleotides long. RefSeq lists it as uncharacterized. The transcript is spliced from 2 exons. Lineage: Eukaryota; Viridiplantae; Streptophyta; Magnoliopsida; Apiales; Apiaceae. The record is from RefSeq and is a predicted model, not a curated record.